GAUGAACGCUGGCGGCGUGCCUAAUACAUGCAAGUCGAGCGAACAGACGAGGAGCUUGCUCCUCUGACGUUAGCGGCGGACGGGUGAGUAACACGUGGAUAACCUACCUAUAAGACUGGGAUAACUUCGGGAAACCGGAGCUAAUACCGGAUAAUAUAUUGAACCGCAUGGUUCAAUAGUGAAAGACGGUUUUGCUGUCACUUAUAGAUGGAUCCGCGCCGCAUUAGCUAGUUGGUAAGGUAACGGCUUACCAAGGCGACGAUGCGUAGCCGACCUGAGAGGGUGAUAGGCGACACGGGAGCUGAGACACGGUCAAGACUCCUAAGGGAGGCAGCAGUAGGGAAUCUUCCGCAAUGGGCGAAAGCCUGACGGAGCAACGCCGCGUGAGUGAUGAAGGUCUUCGGAUCGUAAAACUCUGUUAUUAGGGAAGAACAAAUGUGUAAGUAACUAUGCACGUCUUGACGGUACCUAAUCAGAAAGCCACGGCUAACUACGUG
Molecule: ribosomal RNA, 497 nt
Filed under: uncultured bacterium
Lineage: Bacteria
Description: partial 16S ribosomal RNA
Rfam family: Bacterial small subunit ribosomal RNA
Source: RNAcentral